GGGGUGUGGCGCAGCGGUAGCGCAGUUGACUGUUAAUCAAUUGGUCGUUGGUUCGAAUCCAACCACCCCUU
RNAcentral lists this transfer RNA (71 nucleotides) under Candidatus Fibrimonadaceae bacterium. RNAcentral describes it as "tRNA-Asn". It matches the Rfam family "tRNA". Rfam says of the family: Transfer RNA (tRNA) molecules are approximately 80 nucleotides in length. Their secondary structure includes four short double-helical elements and three loops (D, anti-codon, and T loops). Further hydrogen bonds mediate the characteristic L-shaped molecular structure. tRNAs have two regions of fundamental functional importance: the anti-codon, which is responsible for specific mRNA codon recognition, and the 3' end, to which the tRNAs corresponding amino acid is attached (by aminoacyl-tRNA synthetases). tRNAs cope with the degeneracy of the genetic code in two manners: having more than one tRNA (with a specific anti-codon) for a particular amino acid; and 'wobble' base-pairing, i.e. permitting non-standard base-pairing at the 3rd anti-codon position. Lineage: Bacteria; Pseudomonadati; Fibrobacterota; Fibrobacteria; Candidatus Fibrimonadales; Candidatus Fibrimonadaceae. The record is from RNAcentral.